Long non-coding RNA from Hemicordylus capensis (graceful crag lizard), 4173 nucleotides. RefSeq lists it as uncharacterized. The transcript has 3 exons. The record is from RefSeq and is a predicted model, not a curated record. Lineage: Eukaryota; Metazoa; Chordata; Lepidosauria; Squamata; Cordylidae.
GUGACUCUAGACUAGAGCAACUAGUUUGGAGGAGCAAGAGAAGUGGUAAAUAACAUUUUGGGGGGAGCAAGGAUUUUACAGAGAUAACUAUGGGUGGUUACAUGGCUCAAAUGGAUUUUACGGCAUUACAGAACCACUAACCUCUCAAGCUGAUGUAUCAAAGCCUGAUCAGAACUGUCCUGAAACCAUGGACCAUUUAAUACAUGUAAAAAGACUGACUUCCUCAUUAUAGUUACGGUGGAUCUGCCUUGGAACAUUAACCACUUCCUAUUUGAUGAUUUAGCACUACAGAGAACUUCCCAUAGGCAUAAUGUGACAUGAGGCAAUCAUAUGUUGACACUGCAGAUGUGCAAGUAUGUCAUUCAAGCAGACAAGAGAUUGUGUGUGCUGGAGAAAAUCUGUGAGGAGUUGCAUCGCGGGAAUCAGGGGUGGCAAGUCACCUGAUUCCUAAGGAGGAAUCCUUAACAUCCUUGUUUGUGAUAUCUCCAGGGAUAAUCAGUGUAAACACUACAUGAACAUAUAUGUCAAAUUGCCUAGAGAAAAGUUCCUGCCAAGUGAAGCUUAUGUGCCAUUGUGGAUGUUUUGCUGUCCUUUGCCUGUGCUGCAAUUGGGCAGGCUAGCCUACGGCUGUGUCAGCCAAACAACAUUGCAAAAAGCUCUAUGCAACCAAACUUGCAUUAAGAACUACAUGGUGAAAAUGUGUCUGACUCUAAGCAGAGAGAAAAUAUAUAGGCCAAAGAAGUUGCCCCGCAAUGUGGUGGCAAUAUAGCGCCUCAGCAUUUCACUUGCUCUGGUCUGGCCUACUGAACAAAAGCUAAAGGGCACAACAUCUUUUCCAGUAAUUACUGGAUACUGAAGAUAACAUUGGCUUGACUGGUGACUGAGAAUCUGAAUUAGUAAGUCUUCUACACAGCCAUUAAAUUUUGUGGCAAAGCUCUAAUCCUGGAAUACAUACUCAACCUUGGGUCCAAGAGGAGUCAUUGUAAGCAGUUUCAAGACAGCCUUAAUACCUUGUUACAUGACUAGGCCUAUGUCUACCAAGAUAGACAAGGUGGGAACAAACAGUCCAUGGGUGUGUAUCUGUGUGGCCUAACCCGCUCCCUCCACCCCAGGAGGCAGACCAAGAGCUUGCUGAAAGAUUUUGUGGGAAAGAUUUUGUGGGGCAAACUGUCUUCCUUAGCCCAGAGCAGGAGUGUGUGGGCAGGAAUGCUGGGAGAAUGAAGGAGGUGCCCUGCCUAGCUGGGGCUGCAAAGGAUCCUGCUGUGGCACUGGUCUUUCUUCCCCAUGUUCUGCUAUUAGCAGUUGGCUGGAAUUGCCACGAGUCUGCUUGUGCUCUGGUGCUGGUACUCCCUUUUGGUGCAAGGAAGGAGCAAAAGUCAUCCUUCUUUUAAACUGCAUGGUGAUCUAAAGUUGCAUGAGUUCCCUUCAACAAGCUUUGCUUGUUAUGGAGGUGAACUGACCUGAGGAAAGGUGGAGCGAGAAAGGGCCAGUUGGCUCAGUGACAGAUGCAGUGGCUGGAACCGAAAGCUUCAAAGCCCUCUGUCCAAGCCACUGUCAUGGAAGAGGAACCAUCUGGAGAAUCAGACCAUCUCCCUGUCUGCAUCGCUAAGCCCCUCCAUCUGCUCUGUCCUGUUCAGUUCCUUGGUCACACAAAUCUAUCUAUCUAUCUAUCUAUCUAUCUAUCUAUCUAUCUAUCUAUCUAUCUAAUCUACCUACCUCCCUACCUUGAUAGAUAUGCCUACCUAUAUAGAUGUGCAUAAUUUUAAAGCCAGUACAUCCUCUACGCUUUAAGGUACUCUUUCAAAGAGGAUGGAAAUCAAGGUAUGCGAUUCUCCAUGGCUUCAGACCUUGCAUCCUCUGUAUAGCCAAAGUAAGCUUGAUAUGGGAUCAGACUUCUCUGUCCACACACGACUGAAUUUUUAAACAUAUCUGGUGAAAGACAUUCUGAAAGAAGGCAUGAAGCCCGUGUUCUUUGAACCGAGACCUCAUUGGUAGAGCACAUCUAGGUUGUAAUUUUGCUGCUGUUUCCAUCUGAUUGCUCUGCACAGCCCUCACAAGGGCUGUGCCAAUCUCCAUGCUAGCUGCACUUCAGUCAGCAGGGUAAGAAGAAAAUGGAAGAACCUUGCUGUGUCAAACCAAAGAUCCAUCUAGUCUAGCAUUCUGUUUCCAACAGUAAAUGGACAGAUGACUUCAGGAUGCCUACCAGCAGAGCCUGAAGGUAACAGUCCGCUCUCACUGUCUGUCCUCCAGCAACCAGCAUUCAGAAGAAUACAGGCUGACAUAGUGCACAGCAUUCUGCACACAUUUUAAUGCAAUUGUAUACAGUUGUGCAAAUGCCAGGAAUUGCACCAACACAACUGUGUGAUGGUAGGCCAUAUUAAAUAAAGGCCUACCACUGUGCAACUUCAUUUGCACAGUUCCCUGCAUUUGUGGAAUGGUGUACAUGCAGAGUUAAAACGUGUGUGAAAUGCUGCACAGUAUGCCAGCCACUGCCUUUGAACCCGAAGGUUUUGUUUAAGCUAGUAUGGCUAAUCGUUGGCGGCUAACCUCCUAUAAGAACCAGUGCAAGUAUCAUGUCAACUGUAGCGCAAGGACAGCAAUGGGAGCACAAACCCUUCGUGCUAGUUAGUAUUUUGGUUGCGAGAAUCCCUCCCCCCCUGCACUUGCCUUACCCGUGUAGCACCACCAUUGCUGGAGAAAGCUGCCCUCAACCUCAAGCAGCAUUGCUACUCCCCUAAAGCAUGACUAAUUAUAGGCUUUCUGGAACAGUUCUGCAACCAUGGCAGACUGACAACACAUCUGAUACUCUGUUAUAUGAAAAAUGUGUUGCUAGCUGGGAUCUGAUCUAUCUCCUCCUUCAUUUCCUCCAAGCCACUUCAUUGACCUCAGUAAGCCCUAGCUACAGAAGGCUUCCGUGCAAAGCAAUUUCUCAACUGCCUUCAGUGUGACCUGGUGGCUGGCUGGCAGUACAAAAUCCCCCUUUGCCUAAAGAAGCCUAGAAAACGAUGAGUGCUGGGGGAGAGCUGUGUGUACAGCCGGAAGUUUAAGUUCCUACUGCAGUCACUUGCAUGGCUGAGCAAGCAAGUGGAAUUUAAGAGCUGCAAUAGACAUUUCAAAGACCCCUCCAGCACCAUAAUCACAGACUGUCAACAUAAGGGAAAUUCUGCAAAUGACAUGGAAGAUGAAAGGGUGGCACAUCAUCUGCCCACUGCAGUUUAAGCAGUUCUUGUAUAUAAAACUGAAAAUCAUGCAUAUCUUUUAGUUUUGCUGCGGUAUUAUAUCUGAUCGCGAAACAGCUGGUACCACACCAAGCAGCAGUCCUUAAGCAUCAUAAUAAACUACUGUAUAUUCACACUGGCUGACAUAAUGCACAACAUUAUGCACAUGGUGGAAACAUAAUAUUUACGCAGAUAUGCAAGAUAUGCAUAGUUGCACUUGCACAACAGCACCAAUGUUAAGUCCCACCGCAUGCAUGGUUUUUCGUUUAUAAUGGUUUAAAGUUUUAUUGAUGGUUAUUUUAAAUUGUUUAUAUGAUUUAGGGUUUUGUGUUUUAAUAAUUUGUAAACUGCCAAGAUAUUUUAUAUGGGGCGGUAUAUAAAUGUGAUAAAUAAAAAUAAUAAUAAUGAUAAUGCAUAGCAUUGUGCAGUAUGUCAGUCACUAUGUUAAAAUGUUCUCCUAAAAAGCCACUAAAGGAAGGAAACAUGGUGUCAGAGAAAAGACUCUGCCACACUGUUUUUUCUCAGUGCUUUGAUUAAUUUAGGUGAGGUCUGGUGCCUGUUGAUUUUGUUUCCUACACUUAAUCAUAGAUCCUCUGCCUUUUAGCUGUAUACUGCAAUUGUUUCGUACAAUCUAGGUGUUGGCGUUUCAGAGAAUUUUGCAAUCUCAUUGUGUCAGUUCCAGAUUAAUGUUUUUGAUCUGAACAUAAGAAAAUGCAGGAAGCAGAAUAUUUGCCAGUGUUGGGACCUGAAAAUGACACGCUUUCCCCUGCAGCUACAAGGAUAGUGUUCUGAGCACAAAAGAUCACACACCCACUCACCUUCCUUUUGCAGAUGUUCCAUUUGAAGACAAGCAACUGUAUCGGAGCUGAAGCCAUGGUUUGGCAGAUUCACUGCCACUAUUGUGACUUGCACAAUUGAAAAGCUCACAUGAGCAAGGGAAAAACAUUGAUAACCU